Molecule: ribosomal RNA, 450 nt
Filed under: uncultured bacterium
Lineage: Bacteria
Description: partial 16S ribosomal RNA
Rfam family: Bacterial small subunit ribosomal RNA
Source: RNAcentral
CCUACGGGAGGCUGCAGUGGGGAAUUUUGGACAAUGGGCGCAAGCCUGAUCCAGCCAUGCCGCGUGGGUGAAGAAGGCCUUCGGGUUGUAAAGCCCUUUCGGCCGGGAAGAAAUCGUGCGGGCGAACAGUCUGCAUGGAUGACGGUACCGGAAGAAGAAGCACCGGCUAACUACGUGCCAGCAGCCGCGGUAAUACGUAGGGUGCGAGCGUUGCGCGGAAUGAUUGGGCGUGAAGCGUGAGGACAGCGCGGAAAUCCCCGGGCUUAACCUGGGAACUGCGGUUGUGACUGUGGUGCUAGAGUACGGCAGAGGGAGGUGGAAUUCCUGGUGUAGCAGUGAAAUGCGUAGAGAUCAGGAGGAACACCGAUGGCGAAGGCAGCCUCCUGGGCUGAUACUGACGCUCAUGCACGAAAGCGUGGGGAGCAAACAGGAUUAGAUACCCGAGUAGUC